UACAUCACGGUGGCCACUCAAAGCUCCUGCCUGUUCCCAGCUGACCGGCGGGGGUAGGACGCAUUCCGCGUUCGUUGCUUGUGUGGUACACCAGCCAAUCCACUUCCCCAAAAAGGGCCUCUAUGGAUUUUCUUCUCUUGCUCUCUCUCUUCUCUAGGUUUCUGUAAAAAGGAUGGAAGAAAAUGCCGAAGGGUCUGAGUCUCUACUCAGAUAUUGGAAAGAAAAUGAGAGAUCUUCUGUAUAAGGAUUACCAGAGCGACCAGAAAUUCACCAUCACCACCUACCCUUCCACUUGCGUUCUUUUUACAACGAUUACAGUCAAUGAACCUGCGCCGGGGCUCAAGACAAUUUUUAGCUUCAUUGUUCCUGAUCAAAAGUCUGGCAAGAAGCCCUCUAUAUGAUUUCAUAUGCAUUCCACAAUGUUUCUGUCGAAGAUAUCAACAUUACAGGAGUGUGCAUGACUGCAUGGGUGUGGGUGACAUGUUGUUUCAAUUAUAUUCCAUUGUAUUAGAUUUGCUGUUUCGGAAGUAACAAUGAUUAAAAAAGUAAAAAAGAAAAGUUGGCCAUGGGGCAAGCCUAUUGCGAGUGACCGACUAGCCAUUUCCUCAGCCACUUCCUCCAACAAGUCUGUCACCAUCGUGAAUCCACAUGAAACAACACAAACAAGCGGAAUGGUCUCCAUUCGAGCAUGAUGUCCUCGCAAGAGCACCACUGAAUAUCAAGCAUAGGGAGCUACUAGCGUGCAAUAGUUAAGGUAUGCAUGCCUGAGCCAUUCUCCCGAUAUUGAUUUGUUUUGGAUUAUUGUACUCUUCCUCUCCUGCCACAAGCCCCACAAGAAGUUGGAGGGAAGCAUCUUUCACAGAAUACACCUCCCUCAGGCCCUAGCCGACAAGCCAGGCCGCUGGGCCCAUUGCCACCAAUACAUGUUUAAAAAUACGACUUUGAUAUGUAAUACUGGGUCAUGCAACACAAGCACCGUACAGAGGCCUAUGGCAUACAUGUUAUAGAUAUGGAUCAUUCCUCAGCCAACUUAAGUUUUGGAUCUGUCUCAUUUUUGGCUCCAUGUCCUAACAUUAUCUGGAAAAACGGAUGGUUGGGGUGGAUUUCUCACAAAGGUUACAGUGGGCUCCACCUAGCUUUCGGUAAGUUCCAGCUAAAGGCUUUGGCAGUCAAUGCAGUCUAGCUUGUUUUUGGCCUAGAAGAAAAAGAAAAAAGUAAAGUAAAAAACUCUCUUAUAUGCUGAGGUUUGCUAAUUCCGCAUGCCUGUGGAUUCAUGCAUAUUCACACGUGGACACAGGUGCAAAUAUGCAUCGCAUGUGUGAGAUUUACACCUUUGAUAAGAUUGGAAAUAAUGCUUAGAUUUACACAGGUGCAAAUAUCCAUGUCUCAUUGAAUCUUGACCGUUCACCGGAUGUGGAGUUUGCAGAUGUCAUCCAUUCUGCCGUAAGACAUUACGGUGCAUGACAGUUCCCAAUAGGUUAAGUUGCAAAUUAUUAUUAAGAGUUGGUUGGAUAUCUUUUAUUUUUU
Long non-coding RNA from Magnolia sinica, 1527 nucleotides. RefSeq lists it as uncharacterized. The transcript is spliced from 5 exons. The record is from RefSeq and is a predicted model, not a curated record. Lineage: Eukaryota; Viridiplantae; Streptophyta; Magnoliopsida; Magnoliales; Magnoliaceae.